This 484-nucleotide ribosomal RNA is filed under the name uncultured bacterium. Its description in RNAcentral is "partial 16S ribosomal RNA". It matches the Rfam family "Bacterial small subunit ribosomal RNA", at positions 30 to 507 of the family's 1533-position model. The record is from RNAcentral.
AUUGAACGCUGGCGGCAGGCCUAACACAUGCAAGUCGAGCGGAUGACGGGAGCUUGCUCCUUGAUUCAGCGGCGGACGGGUGAGUAAUGCCUAGGAAUCUGCCUGGUAGUGGGGGACAGCGUUUCGAAAGGAACGCUAAUACCGCAUACGUCCUACGGGAGAAAGCAGGGGACCUUCGGGCCUUGCGCUAUCAGAUGAGCCUAGGUCGGAUUAGCUUGUUGGUGAGGUAAUGGCUCACCAAGGCGACGAUCCGUAACUGGUCUGAGAGGAUGAUCAGUCACACUGGAACUGAGACACGGUCCAGACUCCUACGGGAGGCAGCAGUGGGGAAUAUUGGACAAUGGGCGAAAGCCUGAUCCAGCCAUGCCGCGUGUGUGAAGAAGGUCUUCGGAUUGUAAAGCACUUUAAGUUGGGAGGAAGGGUUGUAGAUUAAUACUCUGCAAUUUUGACGUUACCGACAGAAUAAGCACCGGCUAACUCUGUG